UACGUAGGGUGCAAGCGUUGUCCGGAAUUAUUGGGCGUAAAGAGCUCGUAGGCGGUUUGUUGCGUCGGCUGUGAAAUCCCGAGGCUCAACCUCGGGUCUGCAGUCGAUACGAGCAAACUAGAGUGUUGCAGGGGAGACUGGAAUUCCUGGUGUAGCGGUGAAAUGCGCAGAUAUCAGGAGGAACACCGGUGGCGAAGGCGGGUCUCUGGGCCGAUACUGACGCUGAGGAGCGAAAGCGUGGGGAGCGAAUAGG
Molecule: ribosomal RNA, 253 nt
Filed under: uncultured bacterium
Lineage: Bacteria
Description: partial 16S ribosomal RNA
Rfam family: Bacterial small subunit ribosomal RNA
Source: RNAcentral